This 403-nucleotide long non-coding RNA is filed under the name Malus domestica (apple). RNAcentral describes it as "long non-coding RNA (MDOM_LNC014756)". Lineage: Eukaryota; Viridiplantae; Streptophyta; Magnoliopsida; Rosales; Rosaceae. The record is from RNAcentral.
GGUCCAAGGCCCGUUUGCCCACCCCUAAUUCAAUUGAUACGAAAGUAAAUUCUGCAGGGUUAGGGUUUGGGAAUAUUAUCCUUUAUUCUUAAAGUUUUAGGUCUUAGGUGCCAAGGUUCACGCUUCGGGCAUGAUGCCACACCUUGGCAAACCUUGAUUUUAUCAUAUGUUUGUGGUAGUAAUCAGAUCCGAGAAUUUGGUAAACUUCCGCUUUCUACACUGCUGCUUCAGGGGCGAGUUAGAAACAUGGAAUGACGAGAAAAGUAUUCUCCAUUCAAAAUUCGAUUGGAUUUAUAAACUUAAGAAUUGUACUCAUUCAUGGACGUAAUCAUGGUGUGCUUCAAGCAAUGUUUUUCAUGAUUAGACGGUCCAUAGGAGCAAGCAAAAGAGCCAUGGAAUCCUC